This 431-nucleotide long non-coding RNA is filed under the name Monodelphis domestica (gray short-tailed opossum). RNAcentral's name for it is "lncRNA (ENSMODG00000040871.1)". The record is from RNAcentral. Lineage: Eukaryota; Metazoa; Chordata; Mammalia; Didelphimorphia; Didelphidae.
AUGGGGAGGAGUCCCUUCCCGGCCCCCUGGCCUCUGGCUGUGGCUCCUUUCCCAAGCCUGACCGUGUCCUGUCGGUGUAGUCUGAGCACUCCUAUUCCUUGUAGCUGUGGAAAUGUCGGUCAGUCACAUCUUCCUGCCCCAUGGCUCCCCAAAGGUAUGAAGACCCUGACAGAAGAUAAUCCGGGAAGGGGACAUUUUCAAGAAGGAAUCUUUCUUCAGGACUCUUCGAGGCCACGUGGACUCUUCAAGGUCAAUCCCUUUGGAGUCUCCAUGGAGGACUCUUUAGGACCAGUCACCUUUGGUUCUGUCUCAGCUUCAAGCUUUCUUCAAACCACUGGGAGUUUUGGAAGAGUGUCCUCUCAGAUGAUCCAGGACCAUCUCUUUGGCUUGAGCUGAAUUACCUUGCUCUUAAUGGGAGAGUCCUUCACUCA